Molecule: long non-coding RNA, 1529 nt
Filed under: Marmota monax (woodchuck)
Lineage: Eukaryota; Metazoa; Chordata; Mammalia; Rodentia; Sciuridae
Source: RNAcentral
UUUUGUUUUAGUAAGAAUUUACAAUUUCUGGAGGUUUGAUAAGGAAGCAGUCCAGAGAUAGCAAUAUAUAUUUACAAGUCAUGAGAUUAAUGCUAGUGUUUGAUUUCUUGGAAGACAGGUGCCAAGGAUAAUACUGGAUUACCCAGGAUCAAAUACGUAGAGAACAGCACCUCUUUGAGAUGUGCCGUGAUCCAUCUGUGCAAAAUAACCUGAUUCACAUCUAAACACAUUUAUAAACCUUGAAAACACUCCUUAGGGUUGAAUAUACCUCAUUUUAGGCAAGUUUUUUUUAAUCUUAACUCUGGGAAUAAAUAUAUUUGGUCAGUAUCCUUUUAUAUUCUCAAUAUUUUGUAUACCUGUUCUUUUUAACUAAGUUUAUUGGCAAAUAUUUUUGAAAGUUUGAGCUCUUAAAUAAAUAACCAAACAUAACAAUUUGUAAUACCCAAAGUAUAAUGCCUAAUUCUUACUAAGUUUGUAGAACACUAUUAGGAAAUAUGGAAGCAUGUGAUUAGUGACCAUUGUUCCAACUCACAACGAGAUAGCACUAUAGUUGGAAAGAUUGACAAUAAUAUACAUGAUGAAUAAUACUAGGAAUACUUUUACAUAAAUUAAGCAAUAAUCCUUGCUCCUCAUUUUAGGGAUGAUGUUACUGCCUCUACUUUCUUCAUAAUUCUAUACUCAUUUUCCCUUAAUUCAAAGAGAUAAUUUUUUCCAAACUUUAUUAUAGAAUCUCAUAGUUUGAAAUGAUAUUUUUGUUAUUUACUUGUGCAUAUAAUAUGUCUUCCAUUGGAAAAUUUAAAUAUAAAAAUUAUCUUUUUUACUAAUGACAAAUAUAAUUUCUAACCAAAGACUAUUAUUCACUCAAAAAAAUAAUAUAUAUUUUUUUAGGGUUGGGGGAGCAGGGACCAAGGAAGAAGACUUCCAAGAAGUAAAUUUACUUCUUUCCCCCUUUCUCAUAUUGAUGUCUUUUCAAACAGCAAAAGAAAACUUGAGUUAUUUUCCUGGAGGCAAUUUUCCCCCUUAUUAAGUCUCUCUUGGUGGCAUCUAUUAGAUGUUCAGCUCCCACAUAUUCUCUUGGUGGUAGUUUAACCAUGUCCACUUUAUGCUUUGAAUAUAGUCUUUGCUGUUCUGUCAGAUGCUUAUUUUAAAAUGGACAUGGUUUUUCCCUUUUCUCCCACUCCCAAAUUAGCAAGUGAAUUCAGUCCCCUUUCAGGACAUACCUGGAAUGUAACCUUUGGAUUACUUCUUUUAAAACUCUCUGUUUCCAUGGAUUGGCAGAAUCUCAGCCUCUAGGUCAGGAGUCCCCUGUGUUUUUCCUUUGCUACUAAAGCUAUAAAACUUUUUUUUACCUUUUUCUCAAACCAUGUCCUCAUUAUUGGAUUAGCAUCAGGGACAAGGACCAAACUUUUGGUAACAAAUUGGCAACCUAGGUGGGACCCAGUGCAACCCCUGCUCCAAUUUUCUUGGGCAGGUCUAGCACAUUGGACACCUCCCUCCCUACCUUCCAUGCUGAGGAUUCAAGGUAUCUG